This 72-nucleotide transfer RNA is filed under the name Malassezia furfur. Its description in RNAcentral is "tRNA-His". It matches the Rfam family "tRNA". From Rfam's summary of the family: Transfer RNA (tRNA) molecules are approximately 80 nucleotides in length. Their secondary structure includes four short double-helical elements and three loops (D, anti-codon, and T loops). Lineage: Eukaryota; Fungi; Basidiomycota; Malasseziomycetes; Malasseziales; Malasseziaceae. The record is from RNAcentral.
GUAAAUCUAGCUCAACAGGUAGAGCACUGAUCUGUGGAUUCAGUUGAUUUGGUUCGAGUCCAAAGUUUUACC